AAUAAACAUCUCCCUGAAUAAGGGUGUGCUGCAAGUUGAUCUCUUUGCUUAACUUCCCCUAGAACAGAGGAAGGAGAGGCAUUCUGUGAUACAUCACAUGAAGUUUGUCAGGAAGUCCCUGUUUUUGCAAGUCGGUUACUUUGCAGAACUGAGACACAGAGGGAAUCAAGAAGCAAUAGUUCUUCAUCUAAGCACAGUAUGCAACAGAUUUACCACAUCUUGUGUCAAGUUACUCCAGAGAUCCUUUAAAUGUGAAGUUAAAAUCACAUCCUUCCAACAGAGAUCUGGGACUUGAAUUGCUGAAAUGAAAGCAAAAGAGCUUUGUGAACAUGAAUGGGAUCCUUCCUAAGUUACUGCUACCAAAGAAUCCGUGCCUACCUAAAUCUGCUUCAUUUAUGAUGGGAGAAAGGAGGCAAAGAUCUACUCAAUGAAUUGUUCUAAAAGCAUGCAGGAAGAGUGUGGUUCAGUCAAAUUCUCACAGGGGUGAAAAUGCACUGUAAAUCUCACUGACAGCUUUGUUGGUCAUUUGGGCACACAGUCAGCUGCAACAUGGACACCUCUUAGCCCAGUGUGUGAGAAAGGGCCAGUAUCCAUUUACUAAAAUGGUCUCUGAUCUAAAAUCCAUUCUUGUCGAUUGCUGUUUCCAUUGCCAUCAAUGCACUUUGGAACUUGCUUGUGGAGAUCUAGUCAAGAAAGCUCAGGAACAGAGUUUGGAAAUGCAGGACAGGAGAGUGCCAGAGGCUUCAGAGCAUUACACCAGGAUGGUGGGAUGGAAUUUUUGCUAGCAAGAUAAACUGGAUAUCCAGGGAAAACAGGUACGUAAACUACUGAUUUAAGGGAGAAACUAAAGAGUGUUUUACAGCUGUUAAAAUUCUAUUUAAUUCUGGAGCAUGAAGUAUAUACAGUAUUAUCAACAAGAAGAAAU
This is a non-coding RNA of Anas platyrhynchos (mallard), 925 nucleotides long. The record is from RefSeq and is a predicted model, not a curated record. NCBI's taxonomy places the organism in Eukaryota, Metazoa, Chordata, Aves, Anseriformes, Anatidae.